CAGUAGCCGCGGUAAUACAGAGGGUGCGAGCGUUAAUCGGAUUUACUGGGCGUAAAGCGUGCGUAGGCGGCUUUUUAAGUCGGAUGUGAAAUCCCUGAGCUUAACUUAGGAAUUGCAUUCGAUACUGGGAAGCUAGAGUAUGGGAGAGGAUGGUAGAAUUCCAGGUGUAGCGGUGAAAUGCGUAGAGAUCUGGAGGAAUACCGAUGGCGAAGGCAGCCAUCUGGCCUAAUACUGACGCUGAGGUACGAAAGCAUGGGGAGCAAACAGGAUUAGAUACCCCAGUAGUCCCUGUCUCUUAUAC
Molecule: ribosomal RNA, 301 nt
Filed under: uncultured bacterium
Lineage: Bacteria
Description: partial 16S ribosomal RNA
Rfam family: Bacterial small subunit ribosomal RNA
Source: RNAcentral